GAGGGUAUAGCUCAGUGGUAGAGUGCCUGCCUAGCAUGCACAAGGUCCUGGGUUCAAUUCCCAGCACCUGUG
RNAcentral lists this transfer RNA (72 nucleotides) under Camelus bactrianus (Bactrian camel). It matches the Rfam family "tRNA". From Rfam's summary of the family: Transfer RNA (tRNA) molecules are approximately 80 nucleotides in length. Their secondary structure includes four short double-helical elements and three loops (D, anti-codon, and T loops). The record is from Rfam by way of RNAcentral. RNAcentral also lists the same sequence under 3 other names. Lineage: Eukaryota; Metazoa; Chordata; Mammalia; Artiodactyla; Camelidae.